Molecule: ribosomal RNA, 497 nt
Filed under: uncultured bacterium
Lineage: Bacteria
Description: partial 16S ribosomal RNA
Rfam family: Bacterial small subunit ribosomal RNA
Source: RNAcentral
GAUGAACGCUGGCGGCGUGCCUAAUACAUGCAAGUCGAGCGAACGGACGAGAAGCUUGCUUCUCUGAUGUUAGCGGCGGACGGGUGAGUAACACGUGGAUAACCUACCUAUAAGACUGGGAUAACUUCGGGAAACCGGAUCUAAUACCGGAUAAUAUUUUGAACCGCAUGGUUCAUAAGUGCAAGACGGUUCUGCUGUCACUUAUAGAUGGAUCCGCGCUGCAUUAGCUAGUUGGUAAGGUAACGGCUUACCAAGGCUACGAUGCAUAGCCGACCUGAGAGGGUGAUCAGCCACACUGGAACUGAGACACGGUCCAGACUCCUACGGGAGGCAGCAGUAGGGAAUAUUGCGCAAUGGGCGAAAGCCUGACGGAGCAACGCCGCGUGAGUGAUGAAGGUCUUCGGAUCGUAAAACUCUGUUAUUAGGGAAGAACAUAAGUGUGAGUAACUGUGCACAUCUUGACGGUACCAAAUCAGAAAGCAACGGCUAACUACGUG